This is a long non-coding RNA of Hyla sarda, 552 nucleotides long. RefSeq lists it as uncharacterized. The record is from RefSeq and is a predicted model, not a curated record. The transcript has 3 exons. NCBI's taxonomy places the organism in Eukaryota, Metazoa, Chordata, Amphibia, Anura, Hylidae.
CGAAGCGCUUAGAAGAGGCCUCCCCGGUGAAGAUAGCAGCCCGGAACCACUAUCCCACCGGACCACCUCCUCACCGGACAGCCCUACAGGACCGGACCAGCGCCGAGCGGAGGGAACAGAGUGCAGGAAAUGUUCACUGAGCAGCAUCAGUGCCCACAGAUCCGGAGAAUAUAGCUCCAGAUGACACCAAAUAUGAAGACUCUCCUGGGGUUACUCAGUGCUGUCCUGUCACUUCAAUGUGUCACUUCACAGAUCUCUAUGGUGGAGUCUGGUCCUGGGAUUGUGAAACCAUCAGAGACUCUGGACAUGACCUGUAAAGUGACUGGAGCCUCCCUGACUGACAGCACUAACAUGCAUUGUGUACACUGGGUCCGACAACCUGCAGGGAAAGGUCUGGAGUGGUUAGGAAGAAUAUGUCAUAAUAAUCACAUAAAUUAUGCUGAUUCUCUUCAGGGACGAAUAACUCUCUCAAGAGACACAAAUAAAGGAGAAGUUUAUUUUAAACUCACUGGAGUGAAACCUGAAGAAUCUGGGAAAUAUUAUUGUGCUAGA